CGUCACUGAGGGACACAGACAGGCCGCGUCAUUGCCCAUUUCAUGAGACAGUCUCAGAGAGAAAGCGUGAACUACUAUGAGAUCAGCCCAGCAACAUGAGUCAGGAAAAUGAGAAAACAAAUCUACAAAAGGCUUCGACAGAAGGAAACAAAAACCUACUCCUGUACCAUGUAUCAUGUAUGUAUCAUCAUGUACCAUGCACACAAAUAGUGUAUGUUCAAAGGCACGGGAAAUUUAAUUUAAAAUACUGACAAAAAAUAUAUAUUACAGAAGUAAUAAAAACACC
Molecule: long non-coding RNA, 286 nt
Organism: Boleophthalmus pectinirostris (great blue-spotted mudskipper)
Lineage: Eukaryota; Metazoa; Chordata; Actinopteri; Gobiiformes; Gobiidae
Exons: 3
Source: RefSeq, a predicted model, not a curated record